UGAUCAGUCUGGCUUCUGGCUAUAUUCCAGGACUUAUCUGGUCCUCUGUUUAACCAAAGCCUGACCGUAUG
Molecule: non-coding RNA, 71 nt
Organism: Mus musculus (house mouse)
Lineage: Eukaryota; Metazoa; Chordata; Mammalia; Rodentia; Muridae
Source: Rfam